Molecule: small nuclear RNA, 63 nt
Filed under: Colobus angolensis palliatus
Lineage: Eukaryota; Metazoa; Chordata; Mammalia; Primates; Cercopithecidae
Description: U7 small nuclear RNA (ENSCANG00000009687.1)
Rfam family: U7 small nuclear RNA
About the family: Animal histone pre-mRNAs are spliced by a different mechanism than nuclear pre-mRNAs and self-splicing introns. This processing involves the U7 snRNP, which contains only one RNA species: U7.
Source: Rfam by way of RNAcentral
GAGUGUUAUGGCUCUUUUAUAAUUUGUCUAGCAGGUUUUCCACUUUUCACCAGAACUGCCUGU